Molecule: ribosomal RNA, 549 nt
Filed under: Triticum aestivum (bread wheat)
Lineage: Eukaryota; Viridiplantae; Streptophyta; Magnoliopsida; Poales; Poaceae
Description: partial small subunit ribosomal RNA
Source: RNAcentral
AUGGACCAAUCCAUCCCUUUUUCCCAUGCAUAUGCAUCGGACUCGGAUGACGAUGGUCCCGAUGAAGAAGUUGAUGAGGAGAGGUUCACGCCGAAGGAGGCCCAAGCAUUCAAGAAGGUAUUCGGGCGGGAUCACAAGACACCAUUGUUCAAGGAUCGUAGUCUCGCGGAUGAAGCCAUUGUGGAUGGUGGCAAAUGCAUAUCUCUUGGAGCUAGGCCAAGUUCUCACCGUGAUUUGGAAGACGGCAAGAACGGGAUAUAUCCCGGUUGUGAGUUUCACUCCUUCUUGCAAUUCAAGAUGUGGCUCGACAACUACUCGGUUACACAUUAUCGCCCACAUAAAGUGGCCAACUCGGACGUGAAUGUGCGUUACACGGUCAAAUGUGAAGUGCCAACAUGUCCAUGGAUUGUGCGUGCAAGGCCAUGGAAAGGAGGUUCCACUUGGCGCAUAUUGAGUUGUCUACCAACUCACAUGUGCCGGCACAAGAAUGCGGAUGGCAAGCUUGUGUACCAACAACACAGACAACUCACGUCCGAGUUCAUUACUUAG